RNAcentral lists this ribosomal RNA (291 nucleotides) under uncultured bacterium. Its description in RNAcentral is "partial 16S ribosomal RNA". It matches the Rfam family "Bacterial small subunit ribosomal RNA", at positions 773 to 1060 of the family's 1533-position model. The record is from RNAcentral.
GUGGAUUAGAUACCCUAGUAGUCCACGCGGUAAACGAUGGAUACUAGGUGUAGCCGGUCUCGACCCCGGCUGUGCCGUAGCUAACGCAAUAAGUAUCCCGCCUGGGGAGUAUGGCCGCAAGGUUGAAACUCAAAGGAAUUGACGGGGGCCCGCACAAGCGGUGGAGGAUGUGGUUUAAUUCGACGCAACGCGAAGAACCUUACCAAGGCUUGACAUCUACAGAAUCUGUUAGAAAUAGCGGAGUGCCCGAAAGGGAACUGUAAGACAGGUGGUGCAUGGUCGUCGUCAGCU